This is an unclassified non-coding RNA of Cercocebus atys (sooty mangabey), 113 nucleotides long. It matches the Rfam family "Y RNA". From Rfam's summary of the family: Y RNAs are components of the Ro ribonucleoprotein particle (Ro RNP), in association with Ro60 and La proteins. The Y RNAs and Ro60 and La proteins are well conserved, but the function of the Ro RNP is not known. In humans the RNA component can be one of four small RNAs -- hY1, hY3, hY4 and hY5. Lineage: Eukaryota; Metazoa; Chordata; Mammalia; Primates; Cercopithecidae. The record is from Ensembl.
GGCUGGCCUGAAGGUAGUGAAUUAUCUCAAUUGAUGGUUCAUAGUCAGUUACAGAUGGAAUUCCUUGUUCUACUCCUUCCCUCCUUCUGCCUACUACACUUGACUAGUCUUCA